AGAUGGCGUAAGCUAUCGCUUUUGGAUGGACCCGCGGCGUAUCAGCUAGUUGGUGAGGUAACGGCUCACCAAGCGCGAUGAUACGUAGCCGAACUGAGAGGAUGAUCGGCCACAUUGGGACUGAGACACGGCCCAAACUCCUACGGGAGGCAGCAGUAGGGAAUCUUCCACAAUGGACGCAAGUCUGAUGGAGCAACGCCGCGUGAGUGAAGAAGGCUUUCGGGUCGUAAAACUCUGUUGUUGGAGAAGAAUGGUCGGCAGAGUAACUGUCGUCGGCGUGACGGUAUCCAACCAGAAAGCCACGGCUAACUACGUGCCAGCAGCCGCGGUAAUACGUAGGUGGCAAGCGUUAUCCGGAUUUAUUGGGCGUAAAGCGAGCGCAGGCGGUUUUUUAAGUCUGAUGUGAAAGCCCUCGGCUUAACCGAGGAAGCGCAUCGGAAACUGGGAAACUUGAGUGCAGAAGAGGACAUUGGAACUCCAUGUGUAUCGGUGAAAUGCGUAGAUAUAUGGAAGAACACCAGUGGCGAAGGCGGCUGUCUGGUCUGUAACUGACGCUGAGGCUCGAAAGCAUGGGUAGCGAACAGGAUUAGAUACCCUGGUAGUCCAUGCCGUAAACGAUGAAUGCUAGAUGUUGGAGGGUUUCCGCCCUUCAGUGCCGCAGCUAACGCAUUAAGCAUUCCGCCUGGGGAGUACGACCGCAAGGUUGAAACUCAAAGGAAUUGACGGGGGCCCGCACAAGCGGUGGAGCAUGUGGUUUAAUUCGAAGCAACGCGAAGAACCUUACCAGGUCUUGACAUCUUUUGAUCACCUG
Molecule: ribosomal RNA, 811 nt
Filed under: Lactobacillus sp. Lact01
Lineage: Bacteria; Bacillati; Bacillota; Bacilli; Lactobacillales; Lactobacillaceae
Description: bacterial SSU rRNA
Rfam family: Bacterial small subunit ribosomal RNA
Source: RNAcentral